RNAcentral lists this ribosomal RNA (256 nucleotides) under uncultured bacterium. Its description in RNAcentral is "partial 16S ribosomal RNA". It matches the Rfam family "Bacterial small subunit ribosomal RNA", at positions 524 to 776 of the family's 1533-position model. The record is from RNAcentral.
UACGUAGGGGGCGAGCGUUGUCCGGAAUCAUUGGGCGUAAAGAGCUCGUAGGCGGUUCAGUAAGUCAGGUGUGAAAGCUCCGAGCUCAACUCGGAGAGGCCACCUGAUACUGCUGUGACUAGAAUCCAGUAGGGGAGUGUGGAACUCCUGGUGUAGCGGUGAAAUGCGCAGAUAUCAGGAAGAACACCAGCGGCGAAAGGCGGCACUCUGGGCUGGAAUUGACGCUGAGGAAGCGAAAGUGUGGGUAGCAAACAGG